GCAAGCCGAGCGGUAGAGAUCUUUCGGGAUCUUGAGAGCGGCGUACGGGUGCGGAACACGUGUGCAACCUGCCUUUAUCUGGGGGAUAGCCUUUCGAAAGGAAGAUUAAUACCCCAUAAUAUACUGAAUGGCAUCAUUCGGUAUUGAAAACUCCGGUGGAUAGAGAUGGGCACGCGCAAGAUUAGAUAGUUGGUGAGGUAACGGCUCACCAAGUCUACGAUCUUUAGGGGGCCUGAGAGGGUGAUCCCCCACACUGGUACUGAGACACGGACCAGACUCCUACGGGAGGCAGCAGUGAGGAAUAUUGGACAAUGGGUGAGAGCCUGAUCCAGCCAUCCCGCGUGAAGGACGACGGCCCUAUGGGUUGUAAACUUCUUUUGUAUAGGGAUAAACCUACCCUCGUGAGGGUAGCUGAAGGUACUAUACGAAUAAGCACCGGCUAACUCCGUGCCAGCAGCCGCGGUAAUACGGAGGGUGCAAGCGUUAUCCGGAUUUAUUGGGUUUAAAGGGUCCGUAGGCGGAUCUGUAAGUCAGUGGUGAAAUCUCACAGCUUAACUGUGAAACUGCCAUUGAUACUGCAGGUCUUGAGUGUUGUUGAAGUAGCUGGAAUAAGUAGUGUAGCGGUGAAAUGCAUAGAUAUUACUUAGAACACCAAUUGCGAAGGCAGGUUACUAAGCAACAACUGACGCUGAUGGACGAAAGCGUGGGGAGCGAACAGGAUUAGAUACCCUGGUAGUCCACGCCGUAAACGAUGCUAACUCGUUUUUGGAAUGUAAGUUUCAGAGACUAAGCGAAAGUGAUAAGUUAGCCACCUGGGGAGUACGAACGCAAGUUUGAAACUCAAAGGAAUUGACGGGGGCCCGCACAAGCGGUGGAUUAUGUGGUUUAAUUCGAUGAUACGCGAGGAACCUUACCAAGGCUUAAAUGGGAAAUGACAGGUUUAGAAAUAGACUUUUCUUCGGACAUUUUUCAAGGUGCUGCAUGGUUGUCGUCAGCUCGUGCCGUGAGGUGUUAGGUUAAGUCCUGCAACGAGCGCAACCCCUGUCACUAGUUGCCAUCAUUAAGUUGGGGACUCUAGUGAGACUGCCUACGCAAGUAGAGAGGAAGGUGGGGAUGACGUCAAAAUCAUCACGGCCCUUACGCCUUGGGCCACACACGUAAUACAAUGGCCGGUACAGAGGGCAGCUACACUGCGAAGUGAUGCAAAUCUCGAAAGCCGGUCUCAGUUCGGAUUGGAGUCUGCAACUCGACUCUAUGAAGCUGGAAUCGCUAGUAAUCGCGCAUCAGCCAUGGCGCGGUGAAUACGUUCCCGGGCCUUGUACACACCGCCCCGUCA
RNAcentral lists this ribosomal RNA (1336 nucleotides) under Chryseobacterium cucumeris. RNAcentral's name for it is "bacterial SSU rRNA". It matches the Rfam family "Bacterial small subunit ribosomal RNA", at positions 57 to 1399 of the family's 1533-position model. Lineage: Bacteria; Pseudomonadati; Bacteroidota; Flavobacteriia; Flavobacteriales; Weeksellaceae. The record is from RNAcentral.